GGAUACGGCCAUACUGCGGAGAAAGCACCGCUUCCCGUCCGAUCAGCGAAGUUAAGCUCCGCCAGGCGAUGUUAGUACUGGGGUGGGUGACCACCCGGGAAUCCAUUGUGCUGUAUCCUUUU
This 122-nucleotide ribosomal RNA is filed under the name Balamuthia mandrillaris. The record is from RNAcentral. Lineage: Eukaryota; Discosea; Longamoebia; Balamuthiidae.